Molecule: ribosomal RNA, 406 nt
Filed under: uncultured bacterium
Lineage: Bacteria
Description: partial 16S ribosomal RNA
Rfam family: Bacterial small subunit ribosomal RNA
Source: RNAcentral
AUUGAACGCUGGCGGCAGGCCUAACACAUGCAAGUCGAACGAGUGGCGGACGGGUGAGUAAUGUCUGGAAAAAUGCCCGAUGGAGGGGGAUAACUACUGGAAACGGUAGCUAAUACCGCAUACUAUCGGAUGAUCCCAUCUGGGAUUAGCUAGUAGGUGGGGCAAAGGCUAACCUAGGCGACGAUCUCUAGCUGGUCUGAGAGGAUGAGCAGCAGCACUGGGACUGAGACACGGCCCAGACUCCUACGGUAGGCAGCAGUGGUGAAGAUUGCACAAUGGGAGCAAGCCUGAUGCAGCCAUGCCGCGUGUAUGAAGAAGGCCUUAGGGUUGUAAAGUACUUUCAGCGGGGAGGCGUUACCCGCAGAAGAAGCACCGGCUAACUCCGUGCCAGCAGCCGCGGUAAUUC